ACGAUUGAACCCCUUCUACAUGUCGAAGUUGUUUUAUGAACUUGCACAUGAUAGGUGAUUUGGCUUACAAUAGUUUGGCUAGUUUACCUUGUGGCAUCAUUCAAGCUGGUUCAGAUUUGGAGUUAAAACCUCUAUGGUCAACAAGUAGUUCGAGGGAAAAGGUUGAUGUUUCAAGCUCUCAUAACUUACUAGCAAUUCCAGUUGGUAUUACACAAAAGAGUAAUGUUGACGUUAUUAUUCGAAAGUUGCUUUCAAAGAGUUUUACAAUUAUAUUAUUCCAUUAUGAUGGCAAUAUGGAUGGAUGGUGGGAUCUUCCAUGGAGUAAGAAUGCUACACAUAUAGUUGCACAGAACCAAUCAAAAUGGAAGGUUUGUCACCCUUGAACUUUUACAUUGAGGAUGAAUUCCAUCGUGCCACUCGUGGUGGAGCUGGAGGAAUGUUUAUUGGGGCUUUUGGAUUCGAAAACAGUUUGGUACUCAUCAAGUGGAGUUCUUAUCAGUUUUUGAUUUGGGUUAUUUUUCCCUUUGAUUCAAGCAGACCCACUUGAUACUAAUUUUUCUCCUUCCACAUUUUUCUUAUACAAGACAAGUCUGGUUUUUUGUUUUGGUAAUAAUGAUUGGUUUAUAUCUGUGUAUUGGAUGUUUCUUCUUUACGGUUGAAAUAAUUGGUUUGCAUUGUCGGCUAUGGUGAUGACUUUGGCUCUUUCUAUUCUGUGUUUUGGGGCUUUCUUGAUUUCAUAAGCAAUUUUUAUACUCUUUUUGUUUGUUCAUCAAAUCUUUGCAGGUGUCAAUGAUUAUCAUAAGCAUACUUGAUGGCCAUCUUAUGAUUAAUGUACACAUAUGGGCAAUGUAAAAAAUUUAUAUUUUGCCUUUUUCCAUUAAGAAUUGUGAAUUUAAUUUUUGGAUAUGUUAUUUUGCGGGUAAUGUUAAAACCUCAUUUGUGAAUAUGUUAUU
Camellia sinensis is the source of this 953-nucleotide RNA transcript. RefSeq lists it as uncharacterized. Lineage: Eukaryota; Viridiplantae; Streptophyta; Magnoliopsida; Ericales; Theaceae. The record is from RefSeq and is a predicted model, not a curated record.